GCCAGGCGAGGUGGCAUGUGCCUGUAGUCCCAGCUACUCGGGAGGCUGAGGCUGGAGGAUCGCUUGAGUCCAGGAGUUCUGGGCUGUAGUGCGCUAUGCCAAUCAGAUGUCCCCACUAAGUUCGGCAUAAAUAGGGUGACCUCCUGGGAGCGGGGGACCACCAGUUUGCCUAAGGAGGGGUGAACUGGCUCAGGUCAGAAACAGAGCAGGUCAAAACUCCUGUGUUGAUCAGUAGUGGGAUCCCCUGUGUGAAUAGCCACUGCACUCCAGCCUGGGCAACAUAGCAAGACCCUGUCUCU
Molecule: unclassified non-coding RNA, 299 nt
Organism: Aotus nancymaae (Ma's night monkey)
Lineage: Eukaryota; Metazoa; Chordata; Mammalia; Primates; Aotidae
Rfam family: Metazoan signal recognition particle RNA
About the family: The signal recognition particle (SRP) is a universally conserved ribonucleoprotein. It is involved in the co-translational targeting of proteins to membranes.
Source: Ensembl